AGGAGAAUUGAGCCUGGGAGGCGGGUCCGGAGAGGGCUAUGGAAAGCCGCCGGCGGGGAAUCCCGGCCGUAGAGGGACAGUGGAUAGGUGCCCGAGGCCUACAGCUGGCCUGGGGCUCGUGUCUGGGCUUCGGACGUUGGGGCCCGGUGGCCCACCCUUUCCGUAGUUGUCCCAAAUGGAGCUGGAAUUGGAUGCUGGUGACCAAGACCUGCUGGCCUUCCUGCUAGAGGAAAGUGGAGAUUUGGGGACGGCACCCGAUGAGGCCGUGAGGGCCCCACUGGACUGGGAGCUGCCGCUUUCUGAGGUACCGAGCGACUGGGAAGUAGAUGAUUUGCUGUGCUCCCUGCUGAGUCCCCCAGCGUCGUUGAACAUUCUCAGCUCCUCCAACCCCUGCCUUGUCCACCAUGACCACACCUACUCCCUCCCACGGGAAACUGUCUCUAUGGAUCUAGGUGAGUCUGAAAUAAGUUUGCGGGGAGGACAGGGUUCAUGGGCCUGGCUAUUCAUACUUUCCCUUUUGCAGAGAGUGAGAGCUGUAGAAAAGAGGGGACCCAGAUGACUCCACAGCAUAUGGAGGAGCUGGCAGAGCAGGAGAUUGCUAGGCUAGUACUGACAGAUGAGGAGAAGAGUCUAUUGGAGAAGGAGGGGCUUAUUCUGCCUGAGACACUUCCUCUCACUAAGACAGAGGAACAAAUUCUGAAACGUGUGCGGAGGAAGAUUCGAAAUAAAAGAUCUGCUCAAGAGAGCCGCAGGAAAAAGAAGGUGUAUGUUGGGGGUUUAGAGAGCAGGGUCUUGAAAUACACAGCCCAGAAUAUGGAGCUUCAGAACAAAGUACAGCUUCUGGAGGAACAGAAUUUGUCCCUUCUAGAUCAACUGAGGAAACUCCAGGCCAUGGUGAUUGAGAUAUCAAACAAAACCAGCAGCAGCAGCACCUGCAUCUUGGUCCUACUAGUCUCCUUCUGCCUCCUCCUUGUACCUGCUAUGUACUCCUCUGACACAAGGGGGAGCCUGCCAGCUGAGCAUGGAGGUAAGAGGCUUAAGGAUAGCUCUCAGACAGGGCAAGGGGAGAGGUCUGGGUUGGCCUCUGAAGAUUCUUUGUCUCCUCAGUGUUGUCCCGCCAGCUUCGUGCCCUCCCCAGUGAGGACCCUUACCAGCUGGAGCUGCCUGCCCUGCAGUCAGAAGUGCCGAAAGACAGCACACACCAGUGGUUGGACGGCUCAGACUGUGUACUCCAGGCCCCUGGCAACACUUCCUGCCUGCUGCAUUACAUGCCUCAGGCUCCCAGUGCAGAGCCUCCCCUGGAGUGGCCAUUCCCUGACCUCUUCUCAGAGCCUCUCUGCCGAGGUCCCAUCCUCCCCCUGCAGGCAAAUCUCACAAGGAAGGGAGGAUGGCUUCCUACUGGUAGCCCCUGUGUCAUUUUGCAGGACAGAUACUCAGGCUAGAUAUGAGGAUAUGUGGGGGGUCUCAGCAGGAGCUUGGGGGGCUCCCCAUCUGUGUCCAAAUAAAAAGCGGUGGGCAAGGGCUGGCCGCAGCUCCUGUGCCCUGUCAGGACGACUGAGGGCUCAAACAUACCACA
This 1576-nucleotide small RNA is filed under the name Pan troglodytes (chimpanzee). RNAcentral describes it as "processed transcript". The record is from RNAcentral. Lineage: Eukaryota; Metazoa; Chordata; Mammalia; Primates; Hominidae.